AGUGAACGCUGGCGGUAGGCCUAACACAUGCAGGUCGAACGGCAGCACAGUAAGAGCUUGCUCUUACGGGUGGCGAGUGGCGGACGGGUGAGGAAUACAUCGGAAUCUACUUUUUCGUGGGGGAUAACGUAGGGAAACUUACGCUAAUACCGCAUACGACCUACGGGCGAAAGCAGGGGAUCUUCGGACCUUGCGCGAUUGAAUGAGCCGAUGUCGGAUUAGCUAGUUGGCGGGGUAAAGGCCCACCAAGGCGACGAUCCGUAGCUGGUCUGAGAGGAUGAUCAGCCACACUGGGACUGAGACACGGUCCAGACUCCUCCGGGAGGCAGCAGUGGGGAAUAUUGGACAAUGGGCGCAAGCCUGAUCCAGCCAUACCGCGUGGGUGAAGAAGGCCUUCGGGUUGUAAAGCCCUUUUGUUGGGAAAGAAAAGCAGCAGGUUAAUACCCCGCUGUUCUGACGGUACCCAAAGAAUAAGCACCGGCUAACUUCGUGC
Molecule: ribosomal RNA, 493 nt
Filed under: uncultured bacterium
Lineage: Bacteria
Description: partial 16S ribosomal RNA
Rfam family: Bacterial small subunit ribosomal RNA
Source: RNAcentral